CAGCAGCCGCGGUAAUACGUAGGGUGCGAGCGCUAAUCGGAAUUACUGGGCGUAAAGCGUACGCAGGCGGUUUUGUAAGACGGGCGUGAAAUCCCCGGGCUCAACCUGGGAAUGGCGCUUGUGACUGCAAAGCUAGAGUGCGGCAGAGGGGGGUGGAAUUCCGCGUGUAGCAGUGAAAUGCGUAGAUAUGCGGAGGAACACCGAUGGCGAAGGCAAUCCCCUGGGCCUGCACUGACGCUCAUGCACGAAAGCGUGGGGAGCAAACAGGAUUAGAUACCCCGGUAGUCCCUGUCUCUUAUAC
RNAcentral lists this ribosomal RNA (301 nucleotides) under uncultured bacterium. Its description in RNAcentral is "partial 16S ribosomal RNA". It matches the Rfam family "Bacterial small subunit ribosomal RNA", at positions 509 to 807 of the family's 1533-position model. The record is from RNAcentral.